This 119-nucleotide ribosomal RNA is filed under the name Pteropus alecto (black flying fox). Lineage: Eukaryota; Metazoa; Chordata; Mammalia; Chiroptera; Pteropodidae. The record is from RNAcentral.
GUCUACGGCCAUGCCACCCUGAACACGCCCGAUCCCGUCUGAUCUCGGAAGCUAAGCAGGGUCAGGCCCGGUUAGUACUUGGAUGGGAGACCACCUAGGAAGACCAGGUGCUGUAGGCA